CCUACGGGAGGCAGCAGUGAGGAAUAUUGGUCAAUGGGCGCGAGCCUGAACCAGCCAAGUCGCGUGAGGGAUGACGGUCCUACGGAUUGUAAACCUCUUUUGCCGGGGAGCAAGCGUGCGUUCGUGAACGCGCGUCGAGAGUACCCGGAGAAAAAGCAUCGGCUAACUCCGUGCCAGCAGCCGCGGUAAUACGGAGGAUGCGAGCGUUAUCCGGAUUUAUUGGGUUUAAAGGGUGCGUAGGCGGGAUGCCAAGUCAGCGGUAAAAAUGCGGUGCUCAACGCCGUCGAGCCGUUGAAACUGGCGUUCUUGAGUGGGCGAGAAGUAUGCGGAAUGCGUGGUGUAGCGGUGAAAUGCAUAGAUAUCACGCAGAACUCCGAUUGCGAAGGCAGCAUACCGGCGCCCUACUGACGCUGAGGCACGAAAGCGUGGGUAUCGAACAGGAUUAGAUACCCCAGUAGUC
This 460-nucleotide ribosomal RNA is filed under the name uncultured bacterium. RNAcentral describes it as "partial 16S ribosomal RNA". It matches the Rfam family "Bacterial small subunit ribosomal RNA", at positions 338 to 795 of the family's 1533-position model. The record is from RNAcentral.